UACAGAGGGGGCAAGCGUUGUUCGGAAUUAUUGGGCGUAAAGGGCGCGUAGGCGGCCUGGCAAGUGGAUGGUGAAAUCCCUCGGCUUAACCGAGGAACUGCCAUCCAGACUGCUUGGCUUGAGACCGGGAGAGGUGAGAGGAAUUCCCAGUGUAGUGGUGAAAUGCGUAGAUAUUGGGAGGAACACCAGUGGCGAAGGCGGCUCACUGGCCCGGUACUGACGCUGAGGCGCGAAAGCGUGGGGAGCAAACAGG
This 253-nucleotide ribosomal RNA is filed under the name uncultured bacterium. RNAcentral describes it as "partial 16S ribosomal RNA". It matches the Rfam family "Bacterial small subunit ribosomal RNA", at positions 524 to 776 of the family's 1533-position model. The record is from RNAcentral.